RNAcentral lists this ribosomal RNA (279 nucleotides) under uncultured bacterium. RNAcentral describes it as "partial 16S ribosomal RNA". It matches the Rfam family "Bacterial small subunit ribosomal RNA", at positions 506 to 784 of the family's 1533-position model. The record is from RNAcentral.
UGCCAGCCGCCGCGGUAAAACGUAGGGGGCGAGCGUUAUCCGGAAUUAUUGGGCGUAAAGCGCGUGUAGGCGGUUUGUUAAGUUGGUUGUGAAAGCUCCCGGCUCAACUGGGAGAGGUCAAUCAAAACUGAUAGACUUGAGGCAGGUAGAGGGACAUGGAAUUCCUGGUGUAGUGGUGGAAUGCGUAGAGAUCAGGAGGAACCUCAGAGGCGAAAGCGAUGUCCUGGGCCUGACCUGACGCUGAGAUGCGAAAGCGUGGGUAGCGAACGGGAUUAGAUA